AUAAAAAAACCCUAGCCUCUCAAAAUCACAACCCAAUACCCAACGCCUCCCUCGAUCUCCAUCUGCUAUUGAACUGGCGACGACGGUCUUCAUCUGCUAUUGAACUGGCGACGACGGUAAUAACAGAUGGCGGAGCGAUCGACGGUGGCUUGGGUUCUCCUCUCUCCAGUCGACGACGGACGGCAACGUGAGCAGCGACGUCUAUCGAUAGGCUCCCGGCGACGUGAGCAGCGGUGUUUGACGAAAGCCUCCCAACCGUAGCUGACGACGAGAAAACAGUGGUGUCAGUGGAUCUUGGUUGGUCAAAGUGCAGAUUGAAGGUGAUGAAGUUAAUAUCAAGAGAAAGUAGAUAUAUUGUCCUAAGAUUUAGGAGCUGCUAUUUUCCUGAUUAUUUGACAAUUUUUACAUAGCUGAAUUCGGGUUAUGCUCAAAUGAUUGUUAAUUCUACUUAAUGACAGUGUGUAGAGAAGUAUAUUGUGCAUUUUAAUUUCAUUACCUGAUUGUGAACCAGGUUUAAGUUUACCCAAGAGUUUUAUUGUGGGUAA
Ipomoea triloba (trilobed morning glory) is the source of this 545-nucleotide long non-coding RNA. RefSeq lists it as uncharacterized. The transcript is spliced from 2 exons. Lineage: Eukaryota; Viridiplantae; Streptophyta; Magnoliopsida; Solanales; Convolvulaceae. The record is from RefSeq and is a predicted model, not a curated record.